RNAcentral lists this ribosomal RNA (253 nucleotides) under uncultured bacterium. RNAcentral describes it as "partial 16S ribosomal RNA". It matches the Rfam family "Bacterial small subunit ribosomal RNA", at positions 524 to 776 of the family's 1533-position model. The record is from RNAcentral.
UACGGAAGGGGCAAGCGUUGUUCGGAAUCAUUGGGCGUAAAGGGCGCGUAGGUGGUUCUGUAUGUCUACCGUGAAAGCGUACGGCUCAACUGUAUUUUGUCGGUAGAAACUGCAGGACUUGAGGCUGGGAGGGGCUGGUGGAAUUCCCUGUGUAGCGGUGAAAUGCGUAGAGAUGGGGGAGAACACUCGUGGCGAAGGCGGCCAGCUAGACCAGUUCUGACACUGAGGCGCGACAGCGCGGGGAGCGAACGGG